Long non-coding RNA from Manis pentadactyla (Chinese pangolin), 358 nucleotides. RefSeq lists it as uncharacterized. The transcript is spliced from 3 exons. The record is from RefSeq and is a predicted model, not a curated record. Lineage: Eukaryota; Metazoa; Chordata; Mammalia; Pholidota; Manidae.
UCAUCAGUCCAUCCAAAAUUGCCUCCAAAAACAUGAACUUGUCUGGCUUGAAUGUUGCAAUUUUCAUUCCUUCUCAUACUGAUUAUAGUAUACAAACCAACAGCCACAAGGAUGAAGGGCCUGGAUUCAUACUGUUGGAAGCUGGGGGCUGCCUUCAGCUCCUACAACCUGCCUGCAGUUCCUCACCAUGUGGAUGUCCCCAAAGGGGGCUUCCAAAUUCAAGUUAGCAAGGAUUCUCCUUGGAAAUUACCAGUUUGGCCAGCACAGCUCUUGAGCUAAGGGCCAAAGCAAGUGUGGGGAACUCCACAGGCCCCUUAUUCCCAAUAGCAUUAAUAUUGUGCUACCUGCCUGGUGUCUG